Molecule: long non-coding RNA, 979 nt
Organism: Capsella rubella
Lineage: Eukaryota; Viridiplantae; Streptophyta; Magnoliopsida; Brassicales; Brassicaceae
Exons: 6
Source: RefSeq, a predicted model, not a curated record
CUAUUUCUUGCUUACAGGUUCUCGAUGCUUUGGUAGUCCAUGAAACAUUAAGAUCUGAAACUGAGUGAGGCUAGGACUGGAACUUUUUCUGUAUGUGAAGAUUUUCUUCUUAAUUCAUUAUAAUUCUGAAAUAGAGGAAUUUUAGGAAUGUUUUUUAUAGGAUUUGCUGGUUGGAUUUCAGAUAGGCUCUCUUGUGAUCCUGGAACCUUUGAUUGGUUAUUGACUCGGUUGCUUGGAGACAAAGUGUUCAGAUAUACAUUUGGUUUUUGUUUUCUAAUGGUACUGUUUUGCAAGGCAAUAAUAAUUGGUGGGUGUUUGUUGUACUAAGAUACUGUUGCCUCAUCUUUGGUAGUCCAAAUGCUUUUACUAAUCGUUCUUGAUGUCACUGUCGACUGGAAAUGGAACGUGCACAUGCGAUUGUUGACACAAAUGCUGGUUCUUCGCCUUUACUUGUUGAACUCGUCUGGUCCUUCAAUCUUCCUGAAGGUUGGGACGGCCCAUCUUUCGUUUUCAGUCUAUCUGUUAAUUGCUCCUACGUGCAUUAGGAUGGAUUGGAGAUUACAAAAGUCGAAAGCGACCUGAGAAUAACAUCAACGAUCAGUCUGCAUCUUCUUAUAUCAAGGGCGAUAAAGCAAUCAGUUGAAUUGCUCUAUGGGUGCAACUGUGUUGACAACGUGGGAAAGAAAUCAAAACAGGAUAUGCUCUGUUUUGAGUUCGAGGGAAAUCUCUGAAGAACAAGGUACAUAUCAUAUAACAGGGUUCCAACGGAGAACCGUGCAGAUAACUUAUUUGGGACAGCAUCUACCAAAAAAACAUACUCCGGCAAAAGAAAACAAUGCAACUACCUACACAUGGCUUAUUAAAGGCAAACAACAAGAUUGGUAGACUUGUUUAGAACCAUUCUUCCUAGCUGCAUGUUUGCUGGUGUUCUUCGGAAACUGUUUGCUAUUCCCCGAAGAUGCAUCAGAAGCCAUUGAAU